UACGGAGGGUGCAAGCGUUGUUCGGAAUCACUGGGCGUAAAGGGCGUGUAGGCGGUCCGCUAAGUCUGUUGUGAAAGCCCGGGGCUCACCCCCGGAAGGGCAUUGGAAACUGGCGGACUCGAGUCCCGGAGAGGAAGGUGGAAUUCCUGGUGUAGCGGUGAAAUGCGUAGAUAUCAGGAGGAACACCUAUUGCGAAGGCAGCUCGCUGGGACGUAACUGACGCUGAGACGCGAAAGCGUGGGGAGCAAACAGG
This 253-nucleotide ribosomal RNA is filed under the name uncultured bacterium. RNAcentral's name for it is "partial 16S ribosomal RNA". It matches the Rfam family "Bacterial small subunit ribosomal RNA", at positions 524 to 776 of the family's 1533-position model. The record is from RNAcentral.